This 243-nucleotide unclassified non-coding RNA is filed under the name plant metagenome. RNAcentral's name for it is "partial contains small subunit ribosomal RNA, internal transcribed spacer 1, and 5.8S ribosomal RNA". The record is from RNAcentral.
UUUCCGUAGGUGAACCUGCGGAAGGAUCAUUACUGAGUUUGAAAUUGAAAAAUUUCAUCUCCCACCCUUUGUUUAUAAGACCUGUUGCUUCGGCGAGAUUGAUUUUUGUAACCAAAAAUCGGUUGAUUUUAUCUCAAAGUGAACUUUGCUUGCCGAAGUUUUUUAUAACACUUUUUUAUUAAAAUAUUUUGAAAAAACAAAACAAAAAAAUUAAAACUUUCAACAACGGAUCUCUUGGUUCUG